This 83-nucleotide transfer RNA is filed under the name Schistocephalus solidus. It matches the Rfam family "tRNA". From Rfam's summary of the family: Transfer RNA (tRNA) molecules are approximately 80 nucleotides in length. Their secondary structure includes four short double-helical elements and three loops (D, anti-codon, and T loops). Further hydrogen bonds mediate the characteristic L-shaped molecular structure. tRNAs have two regions of fundamental functional importance: the anti-codon, which is responsible for specific mRNA codon recognition, and the 3' end, to which the tRNAs corresponding amino acid is attached (by aminoacyl-tRNA synthetases). tRNAs cope with the degeneracy of the genetic code in two manners: having more than one tRNA (with a specific anti-codon) for a particular amino acid; and 'wobble' base-pairing, i.e. permitting non-standard base-pairing at the 3rd anti-codon position. Lineage: Eukaryota; Metazoa; Platyhelminthes; Cestoda; Diphyllobothriidea; Diphyllobothriidae. The record is from Rfam by way of RNAcentral.
GGCCUCGUAGCUCAGUUGGCCAGAGCGUUGGCUGUACUAAAGACUUGCCCUUGCUGGCGUGAAUUCGAAUCCCACCGAGGCCG